UGGACAGAUUAUUGUAUUCGAUUGUAUUCACGGCGUGAAACUUACACUGUUUUCAAACGGAAAGUGAAUCAAUUAACAUAAUAGACUCCU
Molecule: microRNA precursor, 90 nt
Organism: Nicotiana attenuata
Lineage: Eukaryota; Viridiplantae; Streptophyta; Magnoliopsida; Solanales; Solanaceae
Rfam family: MIR6152 microRNA precursor family
Source: Rfam